CAGUAGCCACGGUAACACGAAGGGGGCUAGCGUUGCUCGGAAUGACUGGGCGUAAAGGGCGCGUAGGCGGAUGACACAGUCAGAUGUGAAAUUCCCGGGCUUAACCUGGGGGCUGCAUUUGAUACGUGUUGUCUAGAGUGAGGAAGAGGGCUGUGGAAUUCCCAGUGUAGAGGUGAAAUUCGUAGAUAUUGGGAAGAACACCGGUGGCGAAGGCGGCAACCUGGUCCUUCACUGACGCUGAGGCGCGAAAGCGUGGGGAGCAAACAGGAUUAGAUACCCGAGUAGUCCCUGUCUCUUAUAU
RNAcentral lists this ribosomal RNA (301 nucleotides) under uncultured bacterium. RNAcentral describes it as "partial 16S ribosomal RNA". It matches the Rfam family "Bacterial small subunit ribosomal RNA", at positions 509 to 809 of the family's 1533-position model. The record is from RNAcentral.